RNAcentral lists this ribosomal RNA (497 nucleotides) under uncultured bacterium. RNAcentral describes it as "partial 16S ribosomal RNA". It matches the Rfam family "Bacterial small subunit ribosomal RNA", at positions 28 to 507 of the family's 1533-position model. The record is from RNAcentral.
GAUGAACGCUGGCGGCGUGCCUAAUACAUGCAAGUCGAGCGAACGGACGAGACGCUUGCUUUUCUGAUGUUAGCGGCGGACGGGUGAGUAACACGUGGAUAACCUCCCUAUAAGACUGGGAUCACUUCGGGACACCGGCGCUUAUACCGGAUAAUAUUCUGCACCGCAUGGUUCAAAAGUGAAAGACGGUCUUUCUGUCACUUAUCGAUGGAUCUGCGCUGCAUUAGCUAGUUGUUAAGGUAACGGCUUAUCAAGGCAACGAUGCAUAGCAGAAGUGCGAGGGUGGUCGGCCGCACUGGAACGGAAACACGGUCCAGACUCCUACGGGAGGGAGCAGUAGGGUAUGGGCCGCAAUAGGCGAAAGCCUUGCGGAGCAAGGCCGCGUGAGUGGUGAAAAUCUUCGGAUCGUAAAGCUCUGUUAUUAGGGGAGAACAUAUGUGGAAGUAACUGUGCACAGCUUGACGGUACCUAAUCAGAAAGCCACGGCUAACUACGUG